RNAcentral lists this ribosomal RNA (497 nucleotides) under uncultured bacterium. RNAcentral's name for it is "partial 16S ribosomal RNA". It matches the Rfam family "Bacterial small subunit ribosomal RNA", at positions 28 to 507 of the family's 1533-position model. The record is from RNAcentral.
GAUGAACGCUGGCGGCGUGCCUAAUACAUGCAAGUCGAGCGAACAGACGAGGAGCUUACUCCUCUGACGUUAGCGGCGGACGGGUGAGUAACACGUGGAUAACCUACCUAUAAGACUGGGAUAACUUCGGGAAACCGGAGCUAAUACCGGAUAACAUGUUGAACCGCAUGGUUCAACAGUGAAAGACGGUCUUGCUGUCACUUAUAGAUGGAUCCGCGUCGCAUUAGCUAGUUGGUAAGGUAACGGCUUACCAAGGCAACGAUGCGUAGCCGACCCGAGAGGGUGAUCGGCCACACUGGAACUGAGACACGGUCCAGACUCCUACGGGAGGCAGCAGUAGGGAAUCUUCCGCAAUGGGCGAAAGCCUGACGGAGCAACGCCGCGUGAGUGAAGAAGGUCUUCGGAUCGUAAAACUCUGUUAUUAGGGAAGAACAAAUGUGUAAGUAACUAUGCACGUCUUGACGGUACCUAAUCAGAAAGCCACGGCUAACUACGUG